Molecule: ribosomal RNA, 98 nt
Filed under: Pogona vitticeps (central bearded dragon)
Lineage: Eukaryota; Metazoa; Chordata; Lepidosauria; Squamata; Agamidae
Source: RNAcentral
ACUUCCCUGAAUAGCUCUGAUCUCAUCUGACUUUAGAAGUUAAAUAGGGUCAGGCCUGUUUAAUACUUGGAUGGGAGACCAUCUGGUGCUAUUAGGGA